UUGGAGAUAAAAAAAAAAAUAACAAGGUUUCCGUAGGUGAACCUGCGGAAGGAUCAUUACUGUGAUUUAGUACUACACUGCGUGAGCGGAACGAAAACAAAAACACCUAAAAUGUGGAAUAUAGCAUAUAGUCGACAAGAGAAAUCUACGAAAAACAAACAAAACUUUCAACAACGGAUCUCUUGGUUCUCGCAUCGAUGAAGAGCGCAGCGAAAUGCGAUACCUAGUGUGAAUUGCAGCCAUCGUGAAUCAUCGAGUUCUUGAACGCACAUUGCGCCCCUCGGCAUUCCGGGGGGCAUGCCUGUUUGAGCGUCGUUUCCAUCUUGCGCGUGCGCAGAGUUGGGGGAGCGGAGCGGACGACGUGUAAAGAGCGUCGGAGCUGCGACUCGCCUGAAAGGGAGCGAAGCUGGCCGAGCGAACUAGACUUUUUUUCAGGGACGCUUGGCGGCCGAGAGCGAGUGUUGCGAGACAACAAAAAGCUCGACCUCAAAUCAGGUAAGAAACCCAA
RNAcentral lists this ribosomal RNA (508 nucleotides) under Pichia sp. L3-5x. Its description in RNAcentral is "eukaryotic LSU rRNA". The stretch from base 163 to 315 matches the Rfam family "5.8S ribosomal RNA". The record is from RNAcentral. Lineage: Eukaryota; Fungi; Ascomycota; Pichiomycetes; Pichiales; Pichiaceae.